This 425-nucleotide ribosomal RNA is filed under the name uncultured bacterium. RNAcentral's name for it is "partial 16S ribosomal RNA". It matches the Rfam family "Bacterial small subunit ribosomal RNA", at positions 354 to 796 of the family's 1533-position model. The record is from RNAcentral.
GUGGGGAAUCUUGCGCAAUGGGCGAAAGCCUGACGCAGCCAUGCCGCGUGGAUGAUGAAGGUCUUAGGAUUGUAAAAUCCUUUCACCGGUGAAGAUAAUGACUGUAGCCGGAGAAGAAGCCCCGGCUAACUUCGUGCCAGCAGCCGCGGUAAUACGAAGGGGGCUAGCGUUGCUCGGAAUUACUGGGCGUAAAGGGAGCGUAGGCGGACAUUUAAGUCAGGGGUGAAAUCCCGAGGCUCAACCUCGGAACUGCCUUUGAUACUGGGUGUCUUGAGUGUGAGAGAGGUGAGUGGAACUCCGAGUGUAGAGGUGAAAUUCGUAGAUAUUCGGAAGAACACCAGUGGGGAAGGCGACUCACUGGAAUGUAACUGACGCUGAGGCGCGAAAGUGUGGGGAGCAAACAGGAUUAGAUACCCGAGUAGUCC